Molecule: long non-coding RNA, 1064 nt
Filed under: Setaria viridis
Lineage: Eukaryota; Viridiplantae; Streptophyta; Magnoliopsida; Poales; Poaceae
Description: long non-coding RNA (SVIR_LNC003975)
Source: RNAcentral
GGGAGUUGAAGAAAUUUAAAACAUGACUUCUUUCAGUGAUCAUGUCAUGAGUCAUAACUAAGAAUGGGGAAGCAUGAGUUUUUCUGCGAAAUCGGUGUAAAGUUGUAUGAAAGGUCAUGUAAGAAAAAAAACUAAUGUUGUCUAAAAGGUUGUCAUGUCAUGUGUGGGUUGACUUAAAAAGAACUGAUGCUUAAAGCCUUAAACUAAUAAGGUCUGUAGCUUCUGCUAAUUUCUUUGAAUGGAGUGGCAAUGAAUGAUAAUUUUGUUAUCCACGAAGCCAUGAUGCCUAAUUUCAACAGUUUUUAACACACUCAGACAUUUUCUUCGUGUCACGUGUUGCACAACAUUUAUUUAAGUUGCUCAACAUCUUUUUAAAGUUGCCCAACAUCUUUUUAAACGCACCAACAUUUCUUGAUAUCAAUCAACAUUUGUUUGGCAUGCACCAACAUUUUUUCUAGGUUUUUCUAAUUAUUUUUAUACUCUAACCAACAUUUUUCUUGAUAAUGACCAACAUUUCUUUACAUAAACAAACAUUUUCCUUUAACUUAUAUCUGAACACACACCAAUGUUUCUAGAUAUUGAUCAACAUUUUUUAUAUUUGCAGAACAUUUUUCCACACUCUCCAACAAUUUAUUUGACAUACACCAAUAUUUUUCUUGAUACACGAACAUUUCCUUUAAAUAAUUCAACAUUUAUUGAUGGUUGCCAAUAUUUUUUGAGCAUGUACCAAUAUAUUCUUAAAGCUGUUUUUAAACUCUUACCAACAUUUUAGAAUCUGUUCAACUUAUUUUUGAACACAUCUCCAAUAUUUUCUUUAUAUCUCUCAACAUUUUUUGAUGAUUGCCCACAUUUUUCCACAAUCUCCAACAUUUUUCUUGACCAUUAUCAACAAUUUUUUCAUACACAGUUUUUUCUUGAACUUAUUUUUUAAUAUUAUCCAACAUUUCAUUGACAUACACUAACAUUUUCCUUUAACUUAUUCUCGACACAUAGCAACAUUUGUUGAUAUUGACCAACAAUUUAUCUGACAUUCACCAACAUUUUGCUUGAUAGACCAACAUUUC